RNAcentral lists this ribosomal RNA (495 nucleotides) under uncultured bacterium. Its description in RNAcentral is "partial 16S ribosomal RNA". It matches the Rfam family "Bacterial small subunit ribosomal RNA", at positions 28 to 507 of the family's 1533-position model. The record is from RNAcentral.
GACGAACGCUGGCGGCGUGCCUAAUACAUGCAAGUAGAACGCUGAAGGAGGAGCUUGCUUCUCCGGAUGAGUUGCGAACGGGUGAGUAACGCGUAGGUAACCUGCCCGGUAGCGGGGGAUAACUAUUGGAAACGAUAGCUAAUACCGCAUAACAGUAGAUGUUGCAUGACAUUUGCUGAAAAGUUGCAAUUGCAUCACUUCCAGAUGGACCUGCGUUGUAUUAGCUAGGUGGUGUGGUAACGGCUCACCAAGGCGACGAUACAUAGCCGACCUGAGAGGGGGGUCGGCCACACUGGGACUGAGACCCGGCCCAUACUCCUUCGGGAGGCAGCCGUAGGGAAUCUUCGGCCAUGGACAGAAGUCUUACCGAGCAACGCCGCGUGAGUGAAGAAGGUUUUCGGAUCGUAAAGCUCGGUUGUAGGAGAAGAACGAGCGUGAGAGUGGAAAGUUCACACUGUGACGGUAUCUUACCAGAAAGCGACGGCUAACUACGUG